GAUGAACGCUGGCGGCGUGCCUAAUACAUGCAAGUCGAGCGAACGGACGAGAAGCUUGCUUCUCUGAUGUUAGCGGCGGACGGGUGAGUAACACGUGGAUAACCUACCUAUAAGACUGGGAUAACUUCGGGAAAACGUAGCUAAUACCGGAUAAUAUUUUGAACCGCAUGGUUCAAAAGUGAAAGACGGUCUUGCUGUCACUUAUAGAUGGAUCCGCGCUGCAUUAGCUAGUUGGUAAGGUAACGGCUUACCAAGGCAACGAUGCAUAGCCGAUCUGAGAGGAUGAUCAGCCACACUGGAACUGAGACACGGUCCAGACUCCUACGGGAGGCAGCAGUAGGGAAUCUUCCGCAAUGGGCGAAAGCCUGACGGAGCAACGCCGCAUGAGUGAUGAAGGUCUUCGGAUCGUAAAACUCUGUUAUUAGGGAAGAACAUAUGUGUAAGUAACUGUGCACAUCUUGACGGUACCUAAUCAGAAAGCCACGGCUAACUACGUG
RNAcentral lists this ribosomal RNA (497 nucleotides) under uncultured bacterium. Its description in RNAcentral is "partial 16S ribosomal RNA". It matches the Rfam family "Bacterial small subunit ribosomal RNA", at positions 28 to 507 of the family's 1533-position model. The record is from RNAcentral.